RNAcentral lists this ribosomal RNA (301 nucleotides) under uncultured bacterium. Its description in RNAcentral is "partial 16S ribosomal RNA". It matches the Rfam family "Bacterial small subunit ribosomal RNA", at positions 509 to 807 of the family's 1533-position model. The record is from RNAcentral.
CAGUCGCCGCGGUAAUACGUAGGGUGCAAGCGUUAAUCGGAAUUACUGGGCGUAAAGCGUGCGCAGGCGGUUUGUUAAGACAGAUGUGAAAUCCCCGGGCUUAACCUGGGAACUGCAUUUGUGACUGGCAAGCUAGAGUACGGCAGAGGGGGGUGGAAUUCCGCGUGUAGCAGUGAAAUGCGUAGAUAUGCGGAGGAACACCGAUGGCGAAGGCAGCCCCCUGGGCCAAUACUGACGCUCAUGCACGAAAGCGUGGGGAGCAAACAGGAUUAGAUACCCCAGUAGUCCCUGUCUCUUAUAC